GAUGAAGAACGUAGCGAAAUGCGAUAAGUAAUGUGAAUUGCAGAAUUCAGUGAAUCAUCGAAUCUUUGAACGCACAUUGCGCCCCCUGGUAUUCCGGGGGGCAUGCCUGUUCGAGCGUCAUUACAACCCUCAAGCUCUGCUUGGUGUUGGGCCCCGCCGCCCCGGCGGGCCCUAAAAUCAGUGGCGGUGCCGUCCGGCUCCGAGCGUAGUAAUUCUUCUCGCUCUGGAGGUCCGGGUGUGUGCUCGCCAGCAACCCCCAAUUUUUUAAGGUUGACCUCGGAUCAGGUAGGGAUACCCGCUGAACUUAAGCAUAUCAAUAAGCGGAGGA
RNAcentral lists this unclassified non-coding RNA (328 nucleotides) under soil metagenome. RNAcentral's name for it is "partial contains 5.8S ribosomal RNA, internal transcribed spacer 2, and large subunit ribosomal RNA". The stretch from base 1 to 120 matches the Rfam family "5.8S ribosomal RNA", at positions 35 to 154 of the family's 154-position model. The record is from RNAcentral.